AGUGAACGCUGGCGGUAGGCCUAACACAUGCAAGUCGAACGGCAGCACAGUAAGAGCUUGCUCUUACGGGUGGCGAGUGGCGGACGUGUGAGGAAUACAUCGGAAUCUACUUUUUCGUGGGGGAUAACGUAGGUAAACUUACGCUAAUACCGCAUACGACCUACGGGUGAAAGCAGGGGAUCUUCGGACCUUGCGCGAUUGAAUGAGCCGAUGUCGAAUUAGCUAGUUGGCGGGGUAAAGGCCCACCAAGGCGACGAUCCGUAGCUGGUCUGAGAGGAUGAUCAGCCACACUGGAACUGAGACACCGUCAAGAGUCCUACGGGAGGCAGCAGUGGGGAAUAUUGGACAAUGGGCGCAAGCCUGAUCCAGCCAUACCGCGUGGGUGAAGAAGGCCUUCGGGUUGUAAAGCCCUUUUGUUGGGAAAGAAAAGCAGCAGGUUAAUACCCCGCUGUUCUGACGGUACCCAAAGAAUAAGCACCGGCUAACUUCGUG
This 492-nucleotide ribosomal RNA is filed under the name uncultured bacterium. RNAcentral's name for it is "partial 16S ribosomal RNA". It matches the Rfam family "Bacterial small subunit ribosomal RNA", at positions 29 to 507 of the family's 1533-position model. The record is from RNAcentral.